RNAcentral lists this ribosomal RNA (302 nucleotides) under uncultured bacterium. Its description in RNAcentral is "partial 16S ribosomal RNA". It matches the Rfam family "Bacterial small subunit ribosomal RNA", at positions 508 to 807 of the family's 1533-position model. The record is from RNAcentral.
GCAGCAGCCGCGGGAAUACGAAGGGUGCAAGCGUUAAUCGGAAUUACUGGGCGUAAAGCGUGCGUAGGCGGUGAGUUAAGUCUGCUGUGAAAUCCCCGGGCUCAACCUGGGAAUGGCAGUGGAUACUGGCUCGCUAGAGUGUGUCAGAGGAUGGUGGAAUUCCCGGUGUAGCGGUGAAAUGCGUAGAGAUCGGGAGGAACAUCAGUGGCGAAGGCGGCCAUCUGGGACAACACUGACGCUGAGGCACGAAAGCGUGGGGAGCAAACAGGAUUAGAUACCCCUGUAGUCCCUGUCUCUUAUAC